CCUUUUUUCCCUCCUCUUUCCCCCAUCGUUUCCCCUCAUUUUGCCCCCAUCCCUCCUCUGAGUGUUCCCAGCCCUCCCGGGAGGGUGCUUCUGGGCCGUGCCGGCCCCCGCGGCGGCUCCCGUGCAGGAUGAGGCUGCCGUUCGCCUUUCCGCGGGUCAGGCAUCUCCGUGCCCUCUCCCAGAGUGCGCCGGGGCUGUCCCUGCGACCCGGCCCGGGAAAGAGCCUCCGGGGACGGCAGGGAUUCCGCUACCGCAGCGAUAAAAGUCCACGAAAAUAGGGACUGAGAAAGGAGCAGCGGAUGCCAUCAUCAGGGAAUGUCGGGAUGCCGCAAUCCCCACACGUGCAGCAGGUGCCCGCGCCAGCCGCUGUCGCCAGCUCGGGUUUUGCAGCAGCUGCGAAGGGAGAAGAGGGAAGCAGCGGCCGGACCUGCGGGGUCCCGCUGCCAUCGGCUCGGGAGGGCACCGCAUCCCCCGGGCACGCGCGGCGGGGGGAGCGCGGGAUCAGACAUCAAAGAUGAAUAUAAAUAGGAAAGAAGCCAGAGAUAAAAAGGACCAUAAGGCUGGAACAGUCCGUGGAGAUAUUCCAUGUUUAUA
This is a long non-coding RNA of Corvus hawaiiensis (hawaiian crow), 594 nucleotides long. RefSeq lists it as uncharacterized. The record is from RefSeq and is a predicted model, not a curated record. Lineage: Eukaryota; Metazoa; Chordata; Aves; Passeriformes; Corvidae. The transcript is spliced from 3 exons.